UACGAAGGGUGCAAGCGUUAAUCGGAAUUACUGGGCGUAAAGCGCACGCAGGCGGUCCCAUUAGUCUGUAGGGACAGGGCACGGCUCAACCGUGUCAGGCUUACGGAAACUGUGGGACUUGAGGGCUUCAGAGGGAUGGGGAAUUCCGGGUGGAGUGGUGAAAUGCGUAGAGAUCCGGAAGAACACCAAAGGCGAAGGCACCAUCCUGGGGAGUCACUGACGCUCGGGUGCGAAAGCUAGGGGAGCGAACGGG
This 253-nucleotide ribosomal RNA is filed under the name uncultured bacterium. RNAcentral's name for it is "partial 16S ribosomal RNA". It matches the Rfam family "Bacterial small subunit ribosomal RNA", at positions 524 to 776 of the family's 1533-position model. The record is from RNAcentral.